UACGUAGGUGGCAAGCGUUGUCCGGAAUUAUUGGGCGUAAAGCGCGCGUAGGUGGCUUCUUAAGUCUGAUGUGAAAGCCCACGGCUCAACCGUGGAGGGUCAUUGGAAACUGGGGAGCUUGAGUGCAGAAGAGGAAAGUGGAAUUCCAAGUGUAGCGGUGAAAUGCGUAGAGAUUUGGAGGAACACCAGUGGCGAAGGCGACUUUCUGGUCUGUAACUGACACUGAGGCGCGAAAGCGUGGGGAGCGAACAGG
This 253-nucleotide ribosomal RNA is filed under the name uncultured bacterium. RNAcentral describes it as "partial 16S ribosomal RNA". It matches the Rfam family "Bacterial small subunit ribosomal RNA", at positions 524 to 776 of the family's 1533-position model. The record is from RNAcentral.